This 279-nucleotide ribosomal RNA is filed under the name uncultured bacterium. Its description in RNAcentral is "partial 16S ribosomal RNA". It matches the Rfam family "Bacterial small subunit ribosomal RNA", at positions 506 to 784 of the family's 1533-position model. The record is from RNAcentral.
UGCCAGCCGCCGCGGUAAUACCGAGGUUCCAAGCGUUCUUCGGAUUUACUGGGCGUAAAGGGAGCGCAGGCGGAAGAAUUAGUCUGAAGUGGAAUCCCGGGGCUCAACCUCGGAAGUGCUUUGGAUACUGUUCUUCUUGAGUCCAUGAGAGGAAAGCGGAAUUCAGGGUGUAGCGGUGAAAUGCUUAGAUAUCCUGAGGAACACCAAUGGCGAAAGCAGCUUUCUGGCAUGUGACUGACGCUGAGGCUCGAAAGCGUGGGGAGCGGACGGGAUUAGAUA